GGGUAAAAAACAAUACGAAGGCCGUUCGCGGCUGGACUAUUUUAUUACCCUUGUCUUUUGCGCACUUGUUGUUUCCUGGGCGGGUUCGCUCGCCACCAGGACCACCAAAUAAACCUUUUUUAUGCAGUUGCAAUCAGCGUCAGUAUAACAAAUGUAAAUCAUUUACAACUUUCAACAACGGAUCUCUUGGUUCUGGCAUCGAUGAAGAACGCAGCGAAAUGCGAUACGUAGUGUGAAUUGCAGAAUUCAGUGAAUCAUCGAAUCUUUGAACGCACAUUGCGCCCUUUGGUAUUCCAAAGGGCAUGCCUGUUCGAGCGUCAUUUGUACCCUCAAGCUUUGCUUGGUGUUGGGCGUUUUUUGUCUUUGGCUCGCCCAAAGACUCGCCUUAAAACGAUUGGCAGCCGGCCUACUGGUUUCGCAGCGCAGCACAUUUUUGCGCUUGCAAUCAGCAAAAGAGGACGGCAAUCCAUCAAGACUCCUUCUCACGUUUGACCUCGGAUCAGGUAGGGAUACCCGCUGAACUUAAGCAUAUCAAUAAGCGGAGGAAAACGGUGGGCCCCCGCACCCUUUCUUUCUUUAUUUUUUAUCUCCUCAUUUUUCAUUCUUUAUUUAUAAUUUUAUUAU
RNAcentral lists this unclassified non-coding RNA (624 nucleotides) under Curvularia hawaiiensis. RNAcentral's name for it is "sequence contains ITS1, 5.8S rRNA gene and ITS2". The stretch from base 167 to 320 matches the Rfam family "5.8S ribosomal RNA". Lineage: Eukaryota; Fungi; Ascomycota; Dothideomycetes; Pleosporales; Pleosporaceae. The record is from RNAcentral.